UCAAAACAAGAUCAGACGUUCCAAAACUAAUACGUCUUGCAUGUUCCUUUCAGCAACAGAAACUCAUGAGAAAACAUGAGAGCAAAGUAAUAUGCAAACACAGUAGAAGGAUUCAAAGAACAUAAUGGGAAAUACUGAUAUAAACAGUAGAAGAAACAUGCCUAAGAGAUUUUCUAGAAGAAACUUAAACAAGGCUCAGUAGAAGAAAAAAUAGUAAAAACACUUAAGAACACAGUAGAAUAAUAUAGUAGGCAAAACAUAACAGGAAAUGGUAGAAGAAAAUACCAUAACAUAGUAGAAAAGCAUACGAGAACACAGUAUAGGAAACACAAUAGAAGAACACACAAGAACAAGGUAUAGAAACACACAGUAGAAGAGCAUUCAUGGUAGAAGAAAAACAUAAGAAUACAAUAUAGGCAAAUACGCACAAAAGAAAGGAAAGAAAUUCAGAGAAACACUUAAACUUUUUCAGAAAUUCCUAGAUAGAAAAAGAAAAGUUUUGAAGGUAAUUUUCAAAAGAAAAGUUAGGGAAAUUGUUUGAAAACUCAAGGAAAGCAUACAUAUACAACGGAUCUGAAGAAAUCGAAGAAAACCCUCGAAGGGUUAGGGUUUCAGAGGAACCCUAGAAGUGAGAUAGGCUUUGAAAAGUCACCAAUCUAAGUCGAAGAGGUUAGAAUUAGGCUCGAUGAACCAUGGUAUGCUGAAAUAGAGCCGGAGAUGGCAGUGGAACCUUGAAUCGAUAGAGGUCUAUGUUUGACCCUUCAUAGUCAGACCUCAAAUCUUCAGGUAUCAGGUGCGUGGGAGCAAGAGAGGGUGGGUAGAGGGCUCUCACAGUCUUGGAAGCCAUAGAUUCUGGUGGAUUUCAGGGCGGAGGUGGCUAGGGAUAGAGAAGGUUCGAGAGUGUUUGAGAUAGAGGGAGAGUUCAGAGGCGGUU
Molecule: long non-coding RNA, 934 nt
Filed under: Nicotiana benthamiana
Lineage: Eukaryota; Viridiplantae; Streptophyta; Magnoliopsida; Solanales; Solanaceae
Description: long non-coding RNA (NBEN_LNC031507)
Source: RNAcentral